This 1836-nucleotide ribosomal RNA is filed under the name Phenes raptor. RNAcentral's name for it is "partial 16S ribosomal RNA". The record is from RNAcentral. Lineage: Eukaryota; Metazoa; Arthropoda; Insecta; Odonata; Petaluridae.
GAGGAAGUAAAUAUUAUUGGUUUGGUAGUUAGAUGUAUUUUAUUUAUUAUAAUAUUAAUUUUUAGGUGAAAUUUAUAAUUAUUAUUUAAUUUUAUUUAUAUUGAAGGUAUGAAAUUGAUGUUAAAAAGGAGGAUUAGAUAGGGUUUUAUUGUGAAUAUAAAAAUUAAGGUGGGUAGUAAUAGAUAUAUUGUUGAAAGGGAAAGGAUUUGGGGGUAUUUUAGUGGUUUGAGAGGAAUGUGUGGGAUAAUGGAGAAUGGAGGAAUAGAUAUAGUUAAUUUUGUAUAAUGAGUUUGUAUAGGUGGGUGAUGAGGGUAUGUUUUUAGAGUUAAUUUUGUUGAAAUAGUAAAUAUUUUAUGUGAGGUGAAGGUGGAAGUUAUAAUUAAGAGGAGAUGGAUUAGAAUAAAUUUAUUUAAAUGGAUUAAAUUAUUUAAAUUUUUAUGAAGGUGGAUUUGAUAGUAAAAUUGUUAUAUUAUUAAUUUGAUUUUGGGUGUAAAAUAUGGAGAGAUGGGGGGUGGGUGUGAUUAUUAAAAUGAGAUAAGUGGUAAGAUAGUAGGUGUAGGGGAAGAUGUAGGUAGUAAGUAAUGAAAUUAGAGGUUGAUAGGAAGGUUUUGAUUUAGAGUGAGAGGAUUAUUGUGGAAUUGAAUUUAGUUUGAUUAAAUUUUAUUGUUAGUAUGUUUUUUAAUUUAAUUUUAGAGAAGUAUGUUUAAUUAUAGUAUAGUAAAGAAAUAAUUUUAUUGGUUAUAGUGAAAUAGUAGGGUAGGGGAAUUAUGAUGAAAAAUUUUUAAAAAUUAGUUUUGUAUAAGUAGAUUUUAUUUAUUGUAGGUUUUGUAUGAGGGUUGAUUAAAUAUUAUUAAUUUAUUGUUAAGUUGUGGAUUUGAGAAGAGGUAUAUUAUAAUUUAUUUGAUGUUAGAUAAUGAUUAAAAAUAUAAGUUAGUGGAGAUAUUGUAUUGGUUUUUAAAGGUAUGUAGUUUUUUAAGAAAUAAAUUUAAUUUAGAUUUUUAAUUUAAUUUAUUAAUUUUUAAUAAAUUAUUUUAUGAAAUUAAGAUUUUAGGGGAUAAGGUGUAAUUUUAUUGUAAAAAUUUAUUUUAUUAAUAAUGUAUGUAGGGUUAAAAGGAUGGAUGAUUAAUAAAUAGGUUAUAGUUUAGAUUAUAAUAAUUAGAUUUUGUUUAUUUUAGUAUUUUAUUAAAAUUUGAAUUUUAAUUAGUGAAAUUGAGUAAUAAUGAUUAAAUUAGUAUAAUUAUUAUGUUUAUAAAUUAUUAAUUGAGAUAAUUAGAUAAGGAAGUGGGGAAAUUAAGAGUGGGGUGUUUAAGAAAAAGAUGUGUUGUUGGUUGAAUUUAUAAGAAGUGUGGGGUGGGGAGUGAUAAUUAUUUAAGGGGGGGGGUAUUUUGAGGGUGGAAAGGUAGGAUAAUGAUUAGUGUUUUAAUAGAGGGGUGGUAUGAAGGGUUUGAGGAGGUGUUGAGUGUGUGAUUUAAUUUGAAUUUAGAAUUUAGGUUUUUAGUGAAAAGGGUAAAAUUUUAUUGGAAGAGGAGAAGAGGGUAUAGAGGUUUAUAUUUAUUUUAUUAAUUAUUUUUUUGUUUAUAUUUAUUUAUUAUUAAAUAAAAUAUUGUGUUGGGGUGAGAAAAAUAUAUAAUUAAGUUUUUUAUUUAAAUUAGAUUAAUAUAUGUAUAAUAGAUGGAAUUUUAUUGAUUGUUAGAAUAAGUUAGGUUAGGGAUAAGAGGGUAAUGUUGGUGGAGAGUUGAUAUUUAGAGGAAGGGUUGGGAGGGGGAUGUUGGAUUAAGAUGAUAAUUAGGUGUAGGGGGUUAAUGUAUAAGGUGUUGGAGGUUUAAAUUGUUAGAU